UCCCUAGUGGCUCAGCUGGUAAAGAAGCUGCCUGCAAUGUAGGAGACCUGGGUUCAAUCCUUGGCUUGGGAA
This is a transfer RNA of Ovis aries (sheep), 72 nucleotides long. It matches the Rfam family "tRNA". Rfam says of the family: Transfer RNA (tRNA) molecules are approximately 80 nucleotides in length. Their secondary structure includes four short double-helical elements and three loops (D, anti-codon, and T loops). Lineage: Eukaryota; Metazoa; Chordata; Mammalia; Artiodactyla; Bovidae. The record is from Rfam.